RNAcentral lists this ribosomal RNA (596 nucleotides) under Escherichia coli. RNAcentral's name for it is "partial 23S ribosomal RNA". It matches the Rfam family "Bacterial large subunit ribosomal RNA", at positions 604 to 1201 of the family's 2925-position model. Lineage: Bacteria; Pseudomonadati; Pseudomonadota; Gammaproteobacteria; Enterobacterales; Enterobacteriaceae. The record is from RNAcentral.
CCUUUUGUAUAAUGGGUCAGCGACUUAUAUUCUGUAGCAAGGUUAACCGAAUAGGGGAGCCGAAGGGAAACCGAGUCUUAACUGGGCGUUAAGUUGCAGGGUAUAGACCCGAAACCCGGUGAUCUAGCCAUGGGCAGGUUGAAGGUUGGGUAACACUAACUGGAGGACCGAACCGACUAAUGUUGAAAAAUUAGCGGAUGACUUGUGGCUGGGGGUGAAAGGCCAAUCAAACCGGGAGAUAGCUGGUUCUCCCCGAAAGCUAUUUAGGUAGCGCCUCGUGAACUCAUCUCCGGGGGUAGAGCACUGUUUCGGCAAGGGGGUCAUCCCGACUUACCAACCCGAUGCAAACUGCGAAUACCGGAGAAUGUUAUCACGGGAGACACACGGCGGGUGCUAACGUCCGUCGUGAAGAGGGAAACAACCCAGACCGCCAGCUAAGGUCCCAAAGUCAUGGUUAAGUGGGAAACGAUGUGGGAAGGCCCAGACAGCCAGGAUGUUGGCUUAGAAGCAGCCAUCAUUUAAAGAAAGCGUAAUAGCUCACUGGUCGAGUCGGCCUGCGCGGAAGAUGUAACGGGGCUAAACCAUGCACCGAAGCU